Molecule: ribosomal RNA, 107 nt
Filed under: Silene viscosa
Lineage: Eukaryota; Viridiplantae; Streptophyta; Magnoliopsida; Caryophyllales; Caryophyllaceae
Also listed under: 2 other names
Description: partial 18S ribosomal RNA
Rfam family: Eukaryotic small subunit ribosomal RNA
Source: RNAcentral
GCGGUUCGCCGCCGACGACGUCGCGAGAAGUUCACUGAACCUUAUCAUUUAGAGGAAGGAGAAGUCGUAACAAGGUUUCCGUAGGUGAACCUGCGGAAGGAUCAUUG